GAAGGAGAUUAUGCAGCUCCAACAAUCCACCCACUACUACUCACAACAAAAGUAGUAGGAAAAGAUGAAGAGACAAGUGUAAAACCAGCCGCUACCAAUGUAAAAUUUUAAACACACAACAAAACUUUAGUUUGUGUAAAUAGUCCAUCCAUAUCAAUCCAAUACACAAAUAUUUCAGCAUCAAAAUGAAUAUAAAUUAUAAA
RNAcentral lists this unclassified non-coding RNA (203 nucleotides) under Hevea brasiliensis (rubber tree). The record is from RNAcentral. Lineage: Eukaryota; Viridiplantae; Streptophyta; Magnoliopsida; Malpighiales; Euphorbiaceae.